AUUGAUAAAAAUAUCGAUAUCACCAAGAUAACUCCAUCAACAAGAGUUGCUCUCCAUAAUGACAGUUAUGUGCUUCAUUUAAUCUUGCCAAGCAAAUUGAUCCAUUGGUCAACCUCAUGAAAGUUGAAAAGGUUCCAGAUUCCACAUAUGACAUGAU
Long non-coding RNA from Quercus robur (English oak), 157 nucleotides. RefSeq lists it as uncharacterized. NCBI's taxonomy places the organism in Eukaryota, Viridiplantae, Streptophyta, Magnoliopsida, Fagales, Fagaceae. The record is from RefSeq and is a predicted model, not a curated record. The transcript has 2 exons.